AUACGUAGGUGACAAGCGUUAUCCGGAUUUACUGGGCGUAAAGGGCGUGUAGGCGGUCUUGCAAGUCAGAAGUGAAAUUCCUGAGCUCAACUCGGGCGCUGCUUCUGAAACUGCAGGACUUGAGUGCUGGAGGGGAUAGCGGAAUUCCUAGUGGAGCGGUAAAAUGCGCAGAUAUUAGGAAGAACACCGGUGGCGAAAGCGGCUGGCUGGACGUUAACUGACGCUGAGGCGCGAAAGCGUGGGGAGCAAACAGGAAUAGAUACCCUGGUAGUCCACGCCGUAAACGAUGAGUACUAGGUGUAGGGAGAUAUAAGUGCUCUGUAUCGCAGCUAACGCAAUAAGCACUCCGCCUGGGGAGUACGACCGCAAGGUUGAAACUCAAAGGAAUUGACGGGU
RNAcentral lists this ribosomal RNA (396 nucleotides) under uncultured bacterium. Its description in RNAcentral is "partial 16S ribosomal RNA". It matches the Rfam family "Bacterial small subunit ribosomal RNA", at positions 523 to 918 of the family's 1533-position model. The record is from RNAcentral.